Molecule: long non-coding RNA, 1558 nt
Organism: Anguilla anguilla (European eel)
Lineage: Eukaryota; Metazoa; Chordata; Actinopteri; Anguilliformes; Anguillidae
Exons: 3
Source: RefSeq, a predicted model, not a curated record
GCUGCUUUCUAGAACUUCUUCAGAAAGUGCAUUCUCCUCGGCGUGACUAGAGCUUCACUUCCGUCCCUCUGAGUAGCUAGUCUAAGUAUUGUUUUGCUUGUUAGUUGUGUCUUGUGGCCUUAAUUUGCCUUAGUUUCUUUAAAUUAGUCGUCUUUGCUUGUUGCGUCGUCAUAUUAGUGAUUUGUAGCCAGCUGUUUUUACCGGUUAAACUCCUAGUCUUGAUUGAUUGUCAGCUGUGCAAUAUUGGUAGUAUUUAGUAUCGCGUAAGUCUUUGAUCGGUAACUUUGUUUCAUCCCCGUUUUAUCUGCGCAGCUGUUUUGGUUCAAGCACCCGGUUCCAAAGACGUGGCCCCCCUAAGCGACGGAACCCAGCUAACCUCUCCUACCCCCAGCUGUCUCCCUGCAAUAACUGCACAGUUGCUGGAGGACUUUGGAACUGCCAGUCUGCUUCAAAGAAGGCUGAUUUCAUCUCAGCCUAUGCCUCCCUGCUCUCCCUUGAUUUCCUUGCCCUCACUGAGACAUGGAUCACCCCAGAGAACACUGCAACCCCUGCUGCCCUCUCCUCUUUCUUUUCAUUCUCCCACACUCCCCGACCAUCAGGCCGUGGUGGUGGCACUGGUCUUCUAAUCUCUCCCUCCUGGAAAUACUCAGCCCUAUCUCUCUCUGACCUACCCCGAUUCAGUUUUGAAUACCAUUCUGUUUCAAUCACCUGUCCAACUAAUCUAUACAUUGUUGUCAUUUAUCGCCCCCCAGGUCCACUGGGAAACUUCAUCGAUGAGCUGGAUAUCCUACUCAGCUCUUUCCCUGAGGACGGCACCCCACUGAUCCUGCUUGGAGAUUUCAACCUCCACCUGGAAACAUCUCAGUCUUCAGCUGUCCUACAUCUCCUCCACUCCUUUGACCUCUCCCUACAGUCAUCUCCCCCUACCCACAAGGCGGGCAACCUCCUCGACCUGGUUUUUCUGAGGAAUAGCCCUUGCACCGAUAUCACUGUAACCCCUCUGCACACCUCUGACCACCACUUCGUUUCCUUCUCCCUCCCCCUUGCUCCCUCUCACCCACCUUCUCCCCCCACACCCACUGUAUCUGUCCGCCGCAAUCUCUGCUCCCUCUCAACCUCCUCUCUUGCUUCAUCUGUCACUGCUGCCCUCCCUCCUCUCGAAUCCUUCACUACCCUCCCCACUGAUUCUGCAUCCACCUCCCUACUUUCCUCCCUUACAUCUGCUCUUGACUCCCUCUGCCCCACUGUCUCUAGGCCAACACGUCCAUCUCCUCCCUGCCCGUGGAUGUCCAAUGCCAUACGCACCUCCAGGGUUGGACUCCGUGCAGCAGAGAGGAAGUGGAGGACAUCCAGAGAUGCUUCAGACCUCUCUGCCUACCAAUCCCUCCUUGCAGCAUUCUCCUCCACGGUGACUGCUGCCAAGCCAGCCAUCUGCACGCCCUCAGUCCUCGCUCACUGCUGACGACUUUGCAACCUUCUUUGACGAGAAGAUUGCAGUCAUCCGCAACUCCUUCUGCACUCCACCUCACCCUAUGCUCCCCUCCCCUUGUCUCUCCAC